This 301-nucleotide ribosomal RNA is filed under the name uncultured bacterium. Its description in RNAcentral is "partial 16S ribosomal RNA". It matches the Rfam family "Bacterial small subunit ribosomal RNA", at positions 509 to 807 of the family's 1533-position model. The record is from RNAcentral.
CAGUCGCCGCGGGAAUACGAAGGGUGCAAGCGUUACUCGGAAUUACUGGGCGUAAAGCGUGCGUAGGUGGUGGUUUAAGUCCGUUGUGAAAGCCCUGGGCCCAACCUGGGAAUUGCAGUGGAUACUGGGUCACUAGAGUGUGGUAGAGGAUAGUGGAAUUUCCGGUGUAGCAGUGAAAUGCGUAGAGAUCGGAAGGAACAUCUGUGGCGAAGGCGACUAUCUGGGCCAACACUGACACUGAGGCACGAAAGCGUGGGGAGCAAACAGGAUUAGAUACCCCAGUAGUCCCUGUCUCUUAUAC